UACGUAGGAGGCGAGCGUUGUCCGGAUUUACUGGGCGUAAAGCGCGCGCAGGCGGCACUUCAAGUAAGGUGUGAAAUCUCCCUGCUCAACGGGGAGGGUGCACUUUAGACUGAGGAGCUAGAGGACGGUAGAGGGGGGUGGAAUUCCGCGUGUAGCAGUGAAAUGCGUAGAGAUGCGGAGGAACACCGAUGGCGAAGGCAGCCCCCUGGGCCAAUACUGACGCUCAGGCACGAAAGCGUGGGGAGCAAACAGG
Molecule: ribosomal RNA, 253 nt
Filed under: uncultured bacterium
Lineage: Bacteria
Description: partial 16S ribosomal RNA
Rfam family: Bacterial small subunit ribosomal RNA
Source: RNAcentral